This 72-nucleotide transfer RNA is filed under the name Candidatus Tagabacteria bacterium CG_4_10_14_0_2_um_filter_40_13. Its description in RNAcentral is "tRNA-Arg". It matches the Rfam family "tRNA". Rfam says of the family: Transfer RNA (tRNA) molecules are approximately 80 nucleotides in length. Their secondary structure includes four short double-helical elements and three loops (D, anti-codon, and T loops). The record is from RNAcentral. RNAcentral also lists the same sequence under 1 other name. Lineage: Bacteria; Candidatus Tagaibacteriota.
CCCCUCAUAGUUCAACGGAUAGAAUACGAGCUUGCGGAGCUCGGGAUGUAGGUUCGAUUCCUACUGAGGGGA